GUCAGACUUAUUAGCUCCAGGCAUCACUUGCUUUCCUAUGUAUACUUUUCUACAGUGUAACUGCCAAGCAAAAUGACAAAAAGGCAAAUUUGCAAAGGAACAAGUUAGUGUUAUUGUUGUUGGUUGGGUAUUGUUCUCAAAGGAGCUGAAAUUCUUCUAUUUUAUCAACAAAAUGUGGUAUAAAGGAAUAUAUUGGCAGUGUGUAUCACCGCUAAGGCAGAAGUAUGUAGAAUGCUAUGUGAAUUUAAUAGUCAUAAGGACACAUUCUAAAAGAAUACGUAGUAUCUGUGUUUCCUGCCAAACAAGGAAAAAGUCACACUGGCUCAAAUCUCCAGGAAUGACUUGUAUGUUUCUUGUUCUUCUUGAUUCCAUUCUGAGGAGAUUGUUUCUGAGAGUAAGUUCUGGUCAAGCUCCUAAAAGUGCCAAAAUCAAGGGUAGUUGGCAUCUCUCCAAGUUCAUGUGCAAGGUAAAAAUGUCUUCAGAUAUAUAGAUGCACAGUCUAUAGUAUUACAAAUCUUUAAGGCAAUUCUUAUAUGCUCUUACUUUGUGUCUUUGAAUCUUAGAAUCAGUGUUCAUAUUUUAAGCAGAUUGUGUUUGUAUAUGAGAGAGAUACUAUUGCUGAUACUUGCUAUUCAUCAUAGUAACUACAUUCUAGUGUAAUUUUGACAUGGAUUAAACACUUAAUGUCUUGCUUACAUCUGUUUGACCAUAGCAAUUCCUAUUGAUUUCAUUUGGUCAGCAAAUACACGGCGCAAAGCUCACACUCUUCCUUUUAGUACUCAGGAUAG
This 788-nucleotide long non-coding RNA is filed under the name Vulpes vulpes (red fox). RNAcentral's name for it is "lncRNA (ENSVVUG00000014189.1)". The record is from RNAcentral. Lineage: Eukaryota; Metazoa; Chordata; Mammalia; Carnivora; Canidae.